GCCCAGGUCCCGCUCUCCAGCCGCGCUCCUUUCUAACCAUCUGCGGCUUCCGCGCUCUCUUUCUGCGCCUGCGCUGUAGCUUUCUGCGUCGCUUUCGCUACCUCGUUUUGAGCCCUAUGCUAAUUAGCCCCCUUUAGGGGCGGAGCCAGUUUGACCCCCUCCCUUCCCUUGUCCACGCGACGGGCGUUGUACAGCGCGAUGCCGGUUUACGACAGUGUUUUUUCUACCUUUACGGCUGUCAUUAGCAACUGAACCGACAGGGGCCUGCUGGCUCGGGACUGCUGCGGUUAGGUGGUGCCCGGGCUAUGAGGUGGCAGGCAGCUGCCUUUCCAUCAAGCUGGAAGACGAGCAGUUUUGCGUGGACCAAGUAGUUCUUCUGACAUCACGAGCCAUGUAUCCAUCUGUCUAUCUUAGCUUUUGACCUUACUUGGACUGCU
This 437-nucleotide long non-coding RNA is filed under the name Chrysemys picta bellii (western painted turtle). Its description in RNAcentral is "lncRNA (ENSCPBG00000006322.1)". The record is from RNAcentral. Lineage: Eukaryota; Metazoa; Chordata; Testudines; Emydidae.